RNAcentral lists this ribosomal RNA (805 nucleotides) under uncultured bacterium. RNAcentral describes it as "bacterial SSU rRNA". It matches the Rfam family "Bacterial small subunit ribosomal RNA", at positions 8 to 811 of the family's 1533-position model. The record is from RNAcentral.
AGAGUUUGAUCCUGGCUCAGGAUGAACGCUGGCGGCGUGCUUAACACAUGCAAGUCGAACGAAGCAUUUAAGACAGAUUUUUUCGGAAUGAAGUUUUUUAUGACUGAGUGGCGGACGGGUGAGUAACGCGUGGGUAACCUGCCUCACACAGGGGGAUAGCAGUUGGAAACGACUGGUAAUACCGCAUAAGCGCACAGCUUCGCAUGAAGCGGUGUGAAAAACUCCGGUGGUGUGAGAUGGACCCGCGUCUGAUUAGGUAGUUGGUGAGGUAACGGCCCACCAAGCCGACGAUCAGUAGCCGACCUGAGAGGGUGACCGGCCACAUUGGGACUGAGACACGGCCCAGACUCCUACGGGAGGCAGCAGUGGGGAAUAUUGCACAAUGGAGGAAACUCUGAUGCAGCGACGCCGCGUGAGUGAAGAAGUAUUUCGGUAUGUAAAGCUCUAUCAGCAGGGAAGACAGUGACGGUACCUGACUAAGAAGCUCCGGCUAAAUACGUGCCAGCAGCCGCGGUAAUACGUAUGGAGCAAGCGUUAUCCGGAUUUACUGGGUGUAAAGGGAGUGUAGGUGGUAUCACAAGUCAGAAGUGAAAGCCCGGGGCUCAACCCCGGGACUGCUUUUGAAACUGUGGAACUGGAGUGCAGGAGAGGUAAGUGGAAUUCCUAGUGUAGCGGUGAAAUGCGUAGAUAUUAGGAGGAACACCAGUGGCGAAGGCGGCUUACUGGACUGUAACUGACACUGAGGCUCGAAAGCGUGGGGAGCAAACAGGAUUAGAUACCCUGGUAGUCCACGCCGUAAACGAUG